RNAcentral lists this ribosomal RNA (282 nucleotides) under uncultured Pseudomonas sp. RNAcentral's name for it is "partial 16S ribosomal RNA". It matches the Rfam family "Bacterial small subunit ribosomal RNA", at positions 1100 to 1382 of the family's 1533-position model. Lineage: Bacteria; Pseudomonadati; Pseudomonadota; Gammaproteobacteria; Pseudomonadales; Pseudomonadaceae. The record is from RNAcentral.
AACCCUUGUCCUUAGUUACCAGCACGUUAUGGUGGCACUCUAAGGAGACUGCCGGUGACAACCGGAGGAAGGUGGGGAUGACGUCAAGUCAUCACUGGCCCUUACGGCCUGGGCUACACACGUGCUACAAUGGUCGGUACAAAGGGUUGCCAAGCCGCGAGGUGGAGCUAAUCCCAUAAAACCGAUCGUAGUCCGGAUCGCAGUCUGCAACUCGACUGCGUGAAGUCGGAAUCGCUAGUAAUCGUGAAUCAGAAUGUCACGGUGAAUACGUUCCCGGGCCUU